CGAGUGUACUCCUCAACUGAUCGCUCCCCCUGCUGUAGCUUCUUCAGAUCCUCUUCGAGUUUCUGCUUCACGCUGUUUGAAAAAUACGCCCGUACAGCAUUCCGCAGAACUCAUCCCAUUUCAUCUGCAACGCCACCAACCGUCGAGUACCUCUCAUCCUCCUCCACCAAGCAUGCACAUCACCAGCCAAACAAUGCACUCCCAGAUGUACCUGCUCCUGCUCUGGUAUAAAUAAGUCCUCGAAUAGCUUC
This 251-nucleotide long non-coding RNA is filed under the name Ananas comosus (pineapple). RNAcentral's name for it is "long non-coding RNA (ACOM_LNC020942)". Lineage: Eukaryota; Viridiplantae; Streptophyta; Magnoliopsida; Poales; Bromeliaceae. The record is from RNAcentral.